UACGUAGGGUGCAAGCGUUAAUCGGAAUUACUGGGCGUAAAGCGUGCGCAGGCGGUUUUGCAAGACAGAUGUGAAAUCCCCGGGCUCAACCUGGGAACUGCAUUUGAGACUGCAAGGCUAGAAUCUGGCAGAGGGGGGUAGAAUUCCACGUGUAGCAGUGAAAUGCGUAGAUAUGUGGAGGAAUACCGAUGGCGAAGGCAGCCCCCUGGGCUAAGAUUGACGCUCAUGCACGAAAGCGUGGGGAGCAAACAGG
RNAcentral lists this ribosomal RNA (253 nucleotides) under uncultured bacterium. Its description in RNAcentral is "partial 16S ribosomal RNA". It matches the Rfam family "Bacterial small subunit ribosomal RNA", at positions 524 to 776 of the family's 1533-position model. The record is from RNAcentral.